RNAcentral lists this ribosomal RNA (409 nucleotides) under Actinomycetes bacterium. RNAcentral describes it as "Actinobacteria bacterium partial 16S ribosomal RNA". It matches the Rfam family "Bacterial small subunit ribosomal RNA", at positions 355 to 776 of the family's 1533-position model. Lineage: Bacteria; Bacillati; Actinomycetota; Actinomycetes. The record is from RNAcentral.
UGGGGAAUAUUGCACAAUGGGCGGAAGCCUGAUGCAGCGACGCCGCGUGGGGGAUGAAGGCCUUCGGGUUGUAAACUCCUUUCGACAGGGACGAAGCUCUUGUGACGGUACCUGUAUAAGAAGCACCGGCUAACUACGUGCCAGCAGCCGCGGUAAUACGUAGGGUGCGAGCGUUGUCCGGAAUUACGGGGCGAAAAGAGCUCGUAGGUGGUUUGUCGCGUCGUUUGUGAAAUUCCGGGGCUUAACUCCGGGCGUGCAGGCGAUACGGGCUGACUUGAGUGCUGUAGGGGAGACUGGAAUUCCUGGGGUAGCGGUGAAAUGCGCAGAUAUCAGGAGGAACACCGAUGGCGAAGGCAGGUCUCUGGGCAGUAACUGACGCUGAGGAGCGAAAGCAUGGGUAGCGAACAGG